This 1315-nucleotide ribosomal RNA is filed under the name unidentified marine bacterioplankton. Its description in RNAcentral is "bacterial SSU rRNA". It matches the Rfam family "Bacterial small subunit ribosomal RNA", at positions 9 to 1371 of the family's 1533-position model. The record is from RNAcentral.
GAGUUUGAUCAUGGCUCAGGAUGAACGCUGGCGGCGUGCUUAACACAUGCAAGUCGAACGAACCUUCGGGUUAGUGGCGGACGGGUGAGUAACGCGUGAGAAUCUGCCCUCAGGAGGGGGACAACAGCUGGAAACGGCUGCUAAUACCCCAUAUGCCGCGAGGUGAAAUGAAUUUCGCCUGAGGAUGAGCUCGCGUCUGAUUAGCUAGUUGGUGUAGGUAAUGGCUCACCAAGGCAUCGAUCAGUAGCUGGUCUGAGAGGAUGAUCAGCCACACUGGGACUGAGACACGGCCCAGGCUCCUACGGGAGGCAGCAGUGGGGAAUUUUCCGCAAUGGGCGAAAGCCUGACGGAGCAACGCCGCGUGAGGGAUGAAGGCCUCUGGGCUGUAAACCUCUUUUAUCAAGGAAGAAGAUCUGACGGUACUUGAUGAAUAAGCCACGGCUAAUUCCGUGCCAGCAGCCGCGGUAAUACGGGAGUGGCAAGCGUUAUCCGGAAUUAUUGGGCGUAAAGCGUCCGCAGGCGGCCCUUCAAGUCUGCUGUUAAAAAGUGGAGCUUAACUCCAUCAUGGCAGUGGAAACUGUUGGGCUUGAGUGUGGUAGGGGCAGAGGGAAUUCCCGGUGUAGCGGUGAAAUGCGUAGAUAUCGGGAAGAACACCAGUGGCGAAGGCGCUCUGCUGGGCCAUCACUGACGCUCAUGGACGAAAGCCAGGGGAGCGAAAGGGAUUAGAUACCCCUGUAGUCCUGGCCGUAAACGAUGAACACUAGGUGUCGGGGGAAUCGACCCCCUCGGUGUCGUAGCCAACGCGUUAAGUGUUCCGCCUAGGGAGUACGCACGCAAGUGUGAAACUCAAAGGAAUUGACGGGGGCCCGCACAAGCGGUGGAGUAUGUGGUUUAAUUCGAUGCAACGCGAAGAACCUUACCAGGGUUUGACAUCCUGCGAAUCUCUUGGAAACAGGAGAGUGCCUUCGGGAACGCAGUGACAGGUGGUGCAUGGCUGUCAUCAACUCGUGUCGUGAGAUGUUGGGUUAAGUCCCGCAACGAGCGCAACCCACGUCUUUAGUUGCCAGCAUUUGGUUGGGCACUCUAGAGAGACUGCCGGUGAUAAACCGGAGGAAGGUGUGGAUGACGUCAAGUCAUCAUGCCCCUUACAUCCUGGGCUACACACGUACUACAAUGCUACGGACAAAGGGCAGCAAGUUCGCGAGGACAAGCAAAUCCCAUAAACCGUGGCUCAGUUCAGAUCGUAGGCUGCAACUCGCCUACGUGAAGGCGGAAUCGCUAGUAAUCGCAGGUCAGCAUACUGCGGUGAAUACGU